Non-coding RNA from Cyprinus carpio (common carp), 72 nucleotides. Lineage: Eukaryota; Metazoa; Chordata; Actinopteri; Cypriniformes; Cyprinidae. The record is from the annotation of a RefSeq genome assembly.
GACCUCGUGGCGCAACGGUAGCGCGUCUGACUCCAGAUCAGAAGGUUGCGUGUUCAAGUCACGCCAAGGUCA